Molecule: ribosomal RNA, 722 nt
Filed under: uncultured Pseudomonadota bacterium
Lineage: Bacteria; Pseudomonadati; Pseudomonadota
Description: bacterial SSU rRNA
Rfam family: Bacterial small subunit ribosomal RNA
Source: RNAcentral
AGAGUUUUGAUCAUGGCUCAGAUUGAACGCUGGCGGCAUGCUUUACACAUGCAAGUCGAACGGCAGCGCGGGGCAACCUGGCGGCGAGUGGCGAACGGGUGAGUAAUAUAUCGGAGCGUACCCAAGAGUGGGGGAUAACGUAGCGAAAGUUACGCUAAUACCGCAUACGAUCCAAGGAUGAAAGCAGGGGAUCUUCGGACCUUGUGCUCCUGGAGCGGCCGAUAUCUGAUUAGCUAGUUGGUGAGGUAAAGGCUCACCAAGGCCACGAUCAGUAGCUGGUCUGAGAGGACGACCAGCCACACUGGAACUGAGACACGGUCCAGACUCCUACGGGAGGCAGCAGUGGGGAAUUUUGGACAAUGGGCGAAAGCCUGAUCCAGCAAUGCCGCGUGAGUGAAGAAGGCCUUCGGGUUGUAAGCUCUUUUGUCAGGGAAGAAACGGUGAAGGCUAAUAUCCUUUACUAAUGACGGUACCUGAAGAAUAAGCACCGGCUAACUACGUGCCAGCAGCCGCGGUAAUACGUAGGGUGCAAGCGUUAAUCGGAAUUAUUGGGCGUAAAGCGUGCGCAGGCGGUUUUGUAAGUCUGACGUGAAAUCCCCGGGCUCAACCUGGGAAUUGCGUUGGAGACUGCAAGGCUAGAAUCUGGCAGAGGGGGUAGAAUUCCACGUGUAGCAGUGAAAUGCGUAGAGAUGUGGAGGAACACCGAUGGCGAAGGCAGCCCC